RNAcentral lists this unclassified non-coding RNA (2819 nucleotides) under Schistocerca americana (American grasshopper). RNAcentral describes it as "longitudinals lacking protein, transcript variant X10". The record is from RNAcentral. Lineage: Eukaryota; Metazoa; Arthropoda; Insecta; Orthoptera; Acrididae.
UCCCGUCAUCAGCAGUGUGCAGCAGUCGCUACAGACGGUAGCAGGUAGAAGGUUUUAUGCUGUUGGCGGUGCUGGCAGAGUGAUCGGGUAGCUGCUGAAGUAUUUUGUUAUUUUUGUGCAAAGUUCCGUAUUUUUUAAAAAGUAGCGACAGAAGAGGAACUGAAUCGAUAUGGGAUCAGAACAGCAGUUUUGUUUGAGGUGGAAUAAUCAUCAAAGCACUUUGGUUGCUGUUUUUGAUACUUUACUGGAGAGUGGAACUUUGGUUGACUGCACUUUGGCAGCUGAAGGCCAAUACUUGAAAGCGCAUAAAGUAGUUCUUUCCGCGUGUAGUCCUUACUUUGAGCUCCUGCUGAGUCAGCAUUAUGAGAAACACCCGAUCGUUAUUCUUAAAGAUGUGAAAUUCCAAGAAUUGAAAGCUAUGAUGGAUUAUAUGUAUCGGGGUGAAGUGAAUAUUUCUCAAGAUCAAUUAGGAGCUUUAUUGAAAGCCGCCGAAUCUCUGCAGAUAAAGGGUUUAUCGGAUAGCGGUGGCGGAGGUACAGAGAGGGAAGUGGAACCUAAGAGGAGAAAAGAAUCGGUUCCACCUCCUCCCACACCAGCAAGAACGCCACCUAUUCUACAGCAUUCGUCGUCGGGCCUCACUAUCGAGCAUCGACGAACGGCGCAGCCAUCUCAAGUUCCGCAAGUUAUUGAUUUACCCGAGGAUGCCCCGCCGCCGAUGCCGUUGCAGAAGAUGGCCACGACGAGGGAGGGCAGCAUUUCGCCCGUCUCACGUAAACGGAAGAAGCAUAGACGCCGAUCAAGUUGUGAUGAGAACAGUUUAGGGGCACCUGGUGUUUUACCAUCAACUGACAAUCACGAAACAAGUAGCUCGUGUGAACUUCCACCCCAAUCGCAGGUACCUCCUGCUCCAAGUAUACCCGCCACCAUAACGCCGGUUACGUCGACGCCAAUACCCAAACCGUCGUUAGAUACCCAGUUAAGUCAUACAACUGAGGAGAAAAACAGUGACUCUGAGAUUAUGAGCAAACCUUUGGCCUCAGUGCAAGGUGCUGUAGCCUCCCCACAGACAAUGCCAAUUGAACCUGAACCUGUUGUGCAUAAAGUAGAGCCACAGACUGAACCUCUAUUAGAACCAAAGUCAGAGUACCUGGAGGAAGUGAACGAUGACAGUGUGGAGGACUUGACUUUAGAUGAUGACAUGGACGAUAUGGAUCAGCCUAGAGCGGGUCCUUCGCAUGGUGGGGAGGGUUCCAGCAGUCAAGGAACAGGCUUUGCACCGUGGCAUGUAACUGCAACUGACAGAUCGACGGAUGAAGUCUUCAUGGCUGCGCAGGAAGCGGUUGGUGCUCAUAGGGAUUCUCAAGAGGUCUGGCCACUGUAUCGCAGACUGGCCACCUUCUCCAGCCGGUUGACUACACUAUCCUCAGACAUAGGUUGUUCUAGCAUGUUGAGUUGUCCGCGUUGCGACCGAAAGUACUCGGUCACCUACACACUUGAUCGACACAUGCGGUAUGAGUGUGGAGUGGAGAAGCAAUUUUGUUGUGCAGUUUGUAUGAAACGAUUUAGUCGGAGUGAUGUUCUUCGUGCACACCAACGUAAAGCAGGUCACUUACCAGUUGAAGCUGGCUGGAUGGGCUCUCUAUUAGCUUACAAUCGCAAGUGAUUUUUAAUGACACUUCACAUACGAAUGAUUGCAGCAAAUGGUAACAUGAAUUUUGAAGGUCUGCAUUAUCCUGUCACAUAACCACUAAUUUACUUAAGUUUUAUGGUGCAGUAAACUUUCUAAGCUUUCAUUGGUAAGAAAAUAUUUUACAGUUGUUGAAGAUUCAUUUAAACUGAUCUGUAUGUAAGUUGGAAUUCUGGUUGGAAGUAUUCCAGGGGUCCUACACAAAUGAUGCUUGUACCAUGUACUCUGAUCCAUUAUAGAGGUGGAGGCCUACCUAUUGUGCAGCUGGUGCUACAGGUGCCAGUGAAGAUGAACAUUAGUCUAACUCUGUGCCUCACAUUAACUUCAUAACACAUCCUGAAAUUCAAAAUUUUCAAAUUCACAGGUGAAACAUUGUCAUUUCAUAUCAAGGAAAUUACAUCAAACACCAACUGGAUGUGAUUAAGCCAUACCUGGAUGCCUAAGUGUUUUGAUGACUUACCAAUGAAUUUCACACAUUGUUUACAGGCAUAAGUAUGUUGUGGAGGAAGUACACGAAAUGUGUGUGUGUGUGUUGUGCUUGCUUUACAGAUAGCAUCAUCACAUUAUAGGCAUAUCCUUCAUAAAUCUAGGUUCUUAAAGGGCAAGUUGAAUGCCUAAAAUGUGACAGAAAAGUCACAUACUGAUAUCUUGUCAUGUAUUACAUUGGAACAACUGGGGAGAUUUGAAGCGGUGUGCACAGGUAUAUUUUGAGAAAUCGCUCUGCACUAAUCUGCUGCAUUCAUGGAGAGCCAGUUGGUGAUUGGGUGUGAACUGAACUGCUGCCAUUGCCACACCAAACUUCACUUCAGCUAUUGAAAGUGCGGCAUUUGGUGUUCCAUUGUGUCUUUUCAACGUGUGCCUUCAAGUUGGAGAGCGUAUUUCCUAAGCAGACAGCCUAUUCUAUGUGGACUAGAGAUUUCCAGCUCAUGUCAGCAUGUAGAGAAGUUUGUUCGCUGCAUUUCGUAGAGGAUGUACACAUAGGGUGGUGUAGGUAGUGUGUGUUGCGAAGGACUUGAAACUGUGAACACUUCUGUGACUUAGUGCCAUCUGUGAAUGAAGAUAUCUUUAACAUUGAAAUAAAUGGAAACUUUGUACUUUACUGAGAGAGAAAUAAUAUCUUAUUUUUCUAUUA